Molecule: ribosomal RNA, 220 nt
Filed under: uncultured bacterium
Lineage: Bacteria
Description: partial 16S ribosomal RNA
Rfam family: Bacterial small subunit ribosomal RNA
Source: RNAcentral
GCAAGUCGAACGAAGUAGCAAUAUUAGUGGCAUACGGGUGAGUAACAUGUGGGUAUCUACCCUUUGGCCUGGAAGAACACGAGGAAACUUGUGCUAAUACCGGAUAAGUCUUUACGGAGAAAGCUUUAUGCACCAUUGGAUGAGCACGCGCUUGAUUAGUUUGUUGGUAGGGUAAUGGCCUACCAAGACUAUGAUCAAUAGCUGAUUUGAGAGGAUGAUC